CCUACGGGAGACAGCAGUAGGGAAUAUUGCACAAUGGGGGAAACCCUGAUGCAGCAACGCCGCGUGCGUGAAGAAGUACUUCGUUAUGUAAACCGCUAUCAGCAGGGAAGAAUAUGACGGUACCUGAUGAAUAAGCAUCGGCUACCUACGUGCCAGCAGCCGCGGUCAUACGUAGGAGCCAAGCAUUAUCCGGAGUGACUGGGUGUAAAGAGUUGCGUAGAUGCCAUAAAAGGUAGAUAGUAAAAUCUGGUGGUUAACCCAUACAGGCUUGUGGCUAAUCUGUUAAGCGCGAGAACGUUAGUGGUAACUGGAAGUGCUAGUGUAGGAGUGAAAUCCGUAGAUAUUAGAAAGAACACCGAUAGGGUAGGCAGGUGACUGGGACGGUUCUGACACUAAGGAACGAAAGCGUAGGGAGCAAACGGGAUUAGAUACCCUAGUAGUC
This 442-nucleotide ribosomal RNA is filed under the name uncultured bacterium. RNAcentral describes it as "partial 16S ribosomal RNA". It matches the Rfam family "Bacterial small subunit ribosomal RNA", at positions 338 to 795 of the family's 1533-position model. The record is from RNAcentral.